Long non-coding RNA from Vitis riparia (riverbank grape), 1522 nucleotides. RefSeq lists it as uncharacterized. The record is from RefSeq and is a predicted model, not a curated record. NCBI's taxonomy places the organism in Eukaryota, Viridiplantae, Streptophyta, Magnoliopsida, Vitales, Vitaceae. The transcript is spliced from 2 exons.
CAGUACCAACCAAUCCUCCUCUCUCCUAUUCAUUACUCAUAAUCAUCUCUUCCCACUUGUGAACCUCUAUAUAUUUAUACCCUUAACACCUUCAAUCCUCAGAUAUUACCGCAUUCUCUAGCUCUUCCCUCUUGUCCCUCCUUUAGUCCUUUGCUCAGAUACUAUUAGCUUUUCUCUUCACAUUCUCUCAUCGUUUUCAAGUUUUUGAUUGUGGGUACAUGUAUAGAGUACCGUAGAAUAGCUUUUCUACCAAGUGGGUCUUGUUUAUUUGAUAAGCUGAGAUAUGGUUUUGAAGCGUUCUGCUGUCCUUCCUUGCAUUUGCCUUUACUUUUUCCUUCAUAGAAUGUGGUCUUGAGGUUAGGGCUAGGUUCCUUCUUCCUUUACAUCUCUUUUUACUCGUUUUCUUUCUUUAUUCCUUUACUUUUGCAUGGAUUCAUAUGAUGAAAGAAGAUCUCAAGACACCAGUCACUGUUUGCGGAUGGAGCAUCAUCAAGAUUCACAAGUAUUGAGACUCAGUGCGUGGUGGUGAUGGUGACUUUUGUGGUCCCUUCCUACACUCCGAUGGCUCUUUGAUAUGGGAAUCUUGAUGAUGCUGCAGCGGCAAUAAAUGGCUAAUUUUUAUAUAAAUCAUCUCCAAAACCACAAAACAGUUGCAGACGAUCGAGGACGGUGCCCAUCAUGACAAUAUCAGGUUCGAACAAUGAAGGCGGAACUUGUUAAUUAUUCUGCAAAAACCCUAUUCUUUAUCUUAAAAUCUCUAUAUAUUAUCCCCCCCCCCAAAAAAAAAAGGUCUCGAAACUGCCGCUUCUCUUGGAAGUGUUUCAUCUGGUUAUGCUGAUACAGGCAGUUGAGACUCAGAUAUGGUUAGGGUUUUUUGUCAGUUAACCCUAAGUUGCACCAGGUUUGAGCUAGACUGUUUGGGUCAUGAUCCAAGGGGUAGUAUGUUGUAUUUUCCAUGUGUUAACUGGAGUUUUUAUUUCAGUGAUGACGGAUGUAGUGCCUUCUCUGACCUUUCCUCAAAAGUUUUGCUGUACUAGAACCACCUGGGCACAGUAGCUUUCAGCUCAGAUACCAGCUUUUCUCACAAAUAUAUUUGAUGUGUUUGGAAUCCGUAUGAAGUCUCACAUACAAUCAUUUUUAUAACUGCCGUACAUAAUGAAAAUCAUGGAGUUUUGACUGCCUUCUGGAAACUUGAAUGUGACUCUCAACUAUACCCCAUCUGGAUGUGCCAUUUCCCAGAUUUGAUUUCCAGUUCCUUUCCAAAAUGCCAAUUUCCACUUCAACAAUUUUUGAAAGUCUACAUUAAGAGGAUCCCUCACUAACUUCUUUAUUUAGCUAUUUGGGAAGAUGUGGGAAAGUUUUGGAUUCCCUUGUUUUCACAAGGCAAUUUAUUUUCCAUCAGAUCUGCAGUUUUCAUGUAUGAAGUGUGUAGGUGUGAGGAGAAGCACUCACUCUGAUAUUGGCUCCUUGAGGGUCUUGUAAAGUUACAUUUUAAUAUCAUUUAAGCAGAUCAAUUAGACCA